UGGAAAAGGUUAUCUUUUGAUGAGACAUGAGUCCAUGCACCCAUUUUCAGGUGCUCAUCUGAAGCUGGGUCGGCACUAACUCAACCCAGGCGUCGUUCUCUCCCACCUGUACAGCUCCUCCCGGGGGAUUCCAGGACAUCCAGGCCAGAUGAGAUACAUACAAGUAAUGCCUCAAGCGAAUUGUGGGCCUGGCCCUGGGACUUGGAUGUGCCCUGAACACAUCCAAUUGAAGACGACGCGACCGUGGACUCCAGGACGAUGCCCUUGUCAGACCCCGGCGAGGGAGAACAGCCACGAGGCCGGGGACGGCACCAGGCAUGAGUGGACAUGGGCUCGAGCCAGGUACCGCUGAGAAGCAGCUCCACGCCGGCCGGCGGGUCGCACGGAGCCACACACAGAUACUGGCUGGGAAAAGAAACAUGCACGUAGGAGGAUAGAUGAGUAACGGUUCCUCCCCCUCUGCUGCCCUACAAGUGCCCUUGAGCAAGUCGGUCAUUGUUAAGAGACGAGGGAAGAGGCGGAGGUGGAAGAAGCAGCGCGAGCUCUUGCAAGUGUGUGUGAAGACGACGGAGAAUGAGGCGAAAGACAAGAGACUAAGUGUUUCCCGAGCGGAGGGAGAGAAUGGCUCCGCUGUCGGCUCAAUGCCCACAGGAACGAAGCGGGGACCAGCGCAUCGUAAGACAACGCACAGCGGUGACUCAGCCUCCAGCAGCAGAAGCAGUCCAGACGAGGCCGGAGUUUAGAGCUGUGUGUCAUUAAGGCCCGCGGACCGCUUCAAGGUUCUGUGGUACCUCUGCUGGAAGACGUCUCCGUGGUUGAGUCACUGCUUAGAAAGCUUCCACAUCCUGCCUUCGCUGAGACACCAGGAGGAUAGACAGACAGAUAGAUAUGUAUUAUCUGAGGUGUUUACCAAAGCCGCACUACAGAGUAGAGAGAGGAGCCCACAGCACAUACACAUCAAGCGAAGGAUGUUCCAGUGCUCUGAUUUCUCAAGCAGAUAUACAGAAAACCCAUCGCCAAAGAAUGAAGGUGAGGCUCUCUAGAGAAAACCCCAUCUCUGGUUCUUUAAUGCAGAAAAAACACAGAGGAUCAGCUGCUUAAUCUAAAGCUCAGUCAACAGCAACAUCUACCGCAGGUAGAAUUGAUCACGAUUGUAGGUUUUCUGUCUAGACCAGCGUCACAUGCCUGAUAUACAGUAUUUACUGUGCUGAUGUUUGCUGCAUGCAGUGGCUGCACACCUCCUCAGCAGAGUGCCUGCUAAAAAUAACACCUGAUGCAGACCAGCCACAGACCCCAGCAAUGCGUACAGUUACAUCUAUCGAUCAUUAUCUAGCUGACACGUCCAGAAGACCUCCUGCUGCUCUGUGAAUAUGCAUCCUGGCGCUGAUUAAGUGCGGUUCUGCCCUCCUGACCUGCUGGAUCGGUCCUGGUCGUGUGUCCAGACCAGCGCUCAGCUGCACAGUACAGUAACCCAUGAAUUAGUUAGGCUUCCCUAUUAUUUUAGCUCGUCCU
This 1512-nucleotide long non-coding RNA is filed under the name Betta splendens (Siamese fighting fish). RNAcentral describes it as "lncRNA (ENSBSLG00000025794.1)". Lineage: Eukaryota; Metazoa; Chordata; Actinopteri; Anabantiformes; Osphronemidae. The record is from RNAcentral.